GGAGAGGAGCAUGAAUGGAGCAAAAUGGCGGAUCAUGUGCAGAGCCUGGCCCAACUAGAGAAUCUGUGCAAACAGCUUUAUGAGACAACAGACACAACCACUCGACUCCAGGCAGAGAAAGCCUUGGUCGAAUUCACCAACAGCCCUGAUUGCCUGAGCAAAUGCCAGCUGCUCCUCAAGAGAGGAAGUUCCUCUUACUCCCAGUUACUGGCAGCUACAUGCCUUACAAAGCUUGUAUCACGCACAAACAACCCUCUACCAUUGGAGCAACGCAUAGAUAUUCGGAACUAUGUGCUCAACUACCUUGCCACCCGGCCAAAGUUGGCUACUUUCGUGACACAAGCACUUAUUCAGUUAUAUGCCAGAAUCACAAAACUGGGCUGGUUUGACUGUCAGAAGGAUGACUAUGUCUUCAGAAAUGCAAUCACAGAUGUCACAAGGUUCUUACAGGACAGUGUGGAAUACUGCGUCAUUGGCGUCACUAUUUUAUCUCAGCUAACCAAUGAAAUUAAUCAAGCCGACACCACGCAUCCUUUAACCAAGCACAGAAAAAUAGCCUUUUCUUUCUGAGACUCAUCAUUAUUUGAUAUCUUCACACUUUCCUGCAAUUUACUAAAACAGGCUUCAGGAAAGAAUCUAAACUUGAAUGAUGAAAGUCAGCAUGGCUUGCUCAUGCAACUGCUCAAACUCACUCAUAACUGCCUAAACUUUGAUUUCAUCGGCACUUCUACUGAUGAGUCUUCAGAUGACCUGUGCACAGUACAGAUUCCCACCAGCUGGAGAUCAGCGUUCUUAGAUUCUUCAACUCUGCAGCUGUUUUUUGACCUGUAUCAUUCCAUCCCUCCUUCAUUUUCGCCUCUGGUAUUAUCCUGUUUAGUACAGAUUGCCUCAGUAAGAAGAUCCCUGUUUAACAAUGCAGAGAGGGCCAAGUUUCUCUCACAUCUUGUUGACGGUGUUAAACGAAUACUGGAAAACCCACAGAGUUUAUCAGACCCAAACAAUUACCAUGAGUUUUGCAGACUACUGGCCCGAUUGAAGAGUAACUCUCAACUGGGAGAAUUAGUAAAGGUGGAAAACUACCCUGAGGUCAUCCGAUUGAUAGCUAACUUCACAGUGACCAGCCUACAGCACUGGGAAUUUGCCCCAAAUAGUGUGCACUAUCUCCUGAGCCUAUGGCAGCAGCUGGCAGCCUCUGUGCCAUACGUGAAGGCCACAGAGCCCCACAUGCUGGAAACUUACACUCCUGAGGUCACCAAAGCCUAUAUCACAUCCCGUUUGGAAUCUGUGCACAUCAUCCUGAGGGAUGGCCUGGAAGACCCUCUGGAGGAUACUGGCCUGGUGCAGCAGCAGCUGGACCAGCUGUCUACCAUCGGGCGUUGUGAGUACGAGAAGACAUGCGCACUCCUCGUGCAGUUGUUUGACCAGUCUGCCCAGUCCUAUCAGGAGCUGCUGCAGAGUGCCAGCGCCAGCCCGAUGGAUAUCGCAGUGCAGGAAGGAAGGCUGACGUGGCUGGUUUACAUCAUCGGCGCAGUGAUCGGUGGCCGGGUUUCUUUUGCCAGCACUGAUGAGCAAGAUGCUAUGGAUGGCGAGCUCGUCUGUCGGGUGCUCCAGCUGAUGAACCUAACAGAUUCUCGCCUGGCUCAAGCGGGUAAUGAGAAGCUAGAAUUGGCCAUGCUGAGCUUUUUUGAACAGUUUCGUAAGAUCUACAUUGGGGACCAGGUGUAAAAAUCCUCUAAGCUGUACCGCCGACUCUCAGAAGUUCUGGGCUUGAAUGAUGAGACUAUGGUCCUAAGCGUCUUCAUAGGAAAAAUCAUCACCAACCUGAAGUACUGGGGCCACUGUGAACCGAUCACCUCCAAGACACUACAGCUUCUCAAUGACCUCUCCAUUGGAUAUAGUAGUGUAAGGAAACUAGUGAAGCUUAGUGCGGUACAGUUCAUGCUGAACAAUCACACGAGUGAGCACUUUUCAUUUCUGGGUAUUAACAAUCAGUCCAAUCUGACAGACAUGCGGUGUCGGACUACCUUCUACACAGCACUUGGGCGUCUCCUCAUGGUGGAUUUAGGAGAGGAUGAAGAUCAGUAUGAGCAGUUCAUGCUGCCGCUCACAGCAGCGUUUGAGGCCGUGGCCCAGAUGUUUAGCACUAACAGUUUCAACGAGCAAGAGGCAAAGCGAACUCUGGUUGGCCUCGUAAGAGACCUGAGAGGGAUAGCUUUCGCCUUCAAUGCCAAGACCAGCUUCAUGAUGCUGUUUGAGUGGAUAUAUCCAUCCUACAUGCCAAUUCUCCAGCGGGCAAUUGAGCUCUGGUACCAUGAUCCAGCUUGUACCACUCCUGUGCUCAAGCUGAUGGCUGAGUUAGUUCAUAACAGAUCCCAGCGACUGCAAUUCGAUGUCUCUUCCCCCAAUGGCAUCUUACUCUUCAGAGAAACCAGCAAGAUGAUAACAAUGUAUGGCAAUCGCAUCCUGACACUAGGAGAGGUCCCAAAGGAUCAGGUCUAUGCACUGAAGCUCAAGGGCAUCUCCAUCUGCUUCUCCAUGCUGAAGGCAGCCCUCAGUGGGAGCUACGUCAAUUUUGGAGUCUUCCGUCUCUAUGGAGAUGAUGCCCUGGACAAUGCUCUACAGACCUUCAUCAAGCUGCUCCUUUCUAUUCCCCACAGUGACCUCCUGGACUACCCCAAGCUCAGCCAGUCUUACUAUUCACUACUGGAAGUCCUGACCCAGGACCACAUGAACUUUAUUGCAAGCCUGGAACCUCAUGUCAUCAUGUAUAUUCUCUCUUCCAUUUCUGAAGGACUUACUGCACUUGACACCAUGGUAUGCACAGGCUGCUGCUCUUGCUUGGACCACAUCGUGACAUACCUCUUUAAGCAACUGUCACGGAGCACCAAGAAGAGGACGACACCCCUGAACCAGGAGAGCGACCGCUUUCUGCAUAUCAUGCAGCAGCAUCCAGAGAUGAUCCAGCAGAUGCUGUAAACGGUGCUGAACAUCAUCAUCUUUGAAGACUGUAGGAACGAGUGGUCAAUGUCCCGGCCCCUACUUGGCUUGAUACUACUUAAUGAAAAGUAUUUUUCUGACCUAAGGAACAGUAUCAUGAACAGCCAGCCACCAGAGAAGCAGCAGGCUAUGCAUCUGUGUUUCGAAAACCUGAUGGAAGGCAUCGAGCUAAAUCUUCUUACGAAAAACAGAGACAGGUUCACCCAGAACCUGUCGGCAUUCCGUCGAGAAGUCAACGACUCGAUGAAGAAUUCCACUUAUGGCGUGAAUAGCAAUGAUAUGAUGAGCUGACACCUCCUUGGACUCUACCUGUACAGAGCA
Callorhinus ursinus (northern fur seal) is the source of this 3318-nucleotide non-coding RNA. NCBI's taxonomy places the organism in Eukaryota, Metazoa, Chordata, Mammalia, Carnivora, Otariidae. The record is from RefSeq and is a predicted model, not a curated record.